Molecule: long non-coding RNA, 842 nt
Organism: Macadamia integrifolia
Lineage: Eukaryota; Viridiplantae; Streptophyta; Magnoliopsida; Proteales; Proteaceae
Exons: 3
Source: RefSeq, a predicted model, not a curated record
UUUUUGCAACACAUUGGUACGUGAGUAUUGGUCCUGCUCGUCAAGUGUUUGAUGAAAUAUUUCAUAGAUAUUUGGUUUCUGUUAGUUUAAAACUCAUCAAUCUCAUUUGAAAGUUUUCUUAAUAGUGGCAUUAUGUACAUGGAUUGAUAUGAUAGUGGACUAUGCCUGCAACGAUCUUUCAUAAAAUAUCAAACCAAACUAAGCAGAGGGUGUGGAUCAAAAUUACUAAUAAAUUACUGUUUUGUAUCAAUAUAUUCCCCUCCCAUUUCCUCUUUUAGCCAAGUCUUCACCCAAGUCCAUGAGUUCAUUCACUUGAAAUAUCAGGUUUGAUUUCCUCUUCUGGAAAAAAUAUCUCUUCGUUCUCACUCGGAUAAGGAAGCUUUAAAUAUCAGUGUUCAUCUAGGAGGGAUACUCACUAAAGGAAAUGACAAAGGAUUCAUAGAAGUGCAAUCAAGUUUAUAUAAUGUUGUGCUUGAAGAUGAUACUUACAAGGGAGAGAUCAAAAUUGACUUUAAAUUCACAACAAAUGUAGAAGUGCAAAAGGAAACAAAAGUAUGUACUGAGCUGGACAAGCAAAAACCAGAGUCAAUAUUUGGAACACUCUUCAGUUUUUGGAGAAUUCCUUAGUUGAAAUUUUGAGUGCAUAUACAUGUUAAGGACUAGUUGCUAAUUUUCAUUUUACUAUCAAGCUUUUGCAGCUUUUCUCAAACUUCCAUUUAUAUCUUUUGCAGCCAUUUCUUCCUUAUAGAAGAAUGUAUUCUACUGCUCUUGAUAAAUCUGAUUGGAUGAAAGGGGUGUAACUGGUUACAAUUUAGUAAGUUUGGUUGGAUUAGUAGUUUUAA